AUUGAACGCUGGCGGCAGGCCUAACACAUGCAAGUCGAGCGGAUGAAGGGAGCUUGCUCCUGGAUUCAGCGGCGGACGGGUGAGUAAUGCCCAGGAAUCUGCCUGGUAGUGGGGGAUAACGUCCGGAAACGGGCGCUAAUACCGCAUACGUCCUGAGGGUGAAAGAGGGGGAUCUUCGGGCCGCACGCUAUCAGAUGAGCCUAGGUCGGAUUAGCUAGUUGGUCGGGUAAAGGCCUACUAGGGGGACGAUCCGUAACUGGACUGAGAGGAUGAUCAGUCACACUGGAACGGGGCCAGGGUCCAGACGCCUAAGGGAGGCAGCAGUGGGGAACAUUGGACAAUGGGCGAAAGCCUGAUCCAGCGAUGCCGCGUGUGUGAAGAAGAUCUUCGGAUUGGAAAGCCCUUUAAGUUGGGAGGAAGGGCAGUAAGUUAAUACCUUGCUGUUUUGACGUUACCAACAGAAUAAGCACCGGCUAACUUCGUG
Molecule: ribosomal RNA, 484 nt
Filed under: uncultured bacterium
Lineage: Bacteria
Description: partial 16S ribosomal RNA
Rfam family: Bacterial small subunit ribosomal RNA
Source: RNAcentral